Molecule: transfer RNA, 67 nt
Filed under: Odontobutis potamophilus
Lineage: Eukaryota; Metazoa; Chordata; Actinopteri; Gobiiformes; Odontobutidae
Description: tRNA-Cys
Source: RNAcentral
GGCCUUCGGGGUGUCACCCCUAUUAGAUUGCAAAUUUUAAGUAGCCGGUUAUUGCCUGCCGGGGCUU